RNAcentral lists this ribosomal RNA (201 nucleotides) under Listeria monocytogenes. RNAcentral's name for it is "partial 23S ribosomal RNA". It matches the Rfam family "Bacterial large subunit ribosomal RNA", at positions 2725 to 2925 of the family's 2925-position model. The record is from RNAcentral. Lineage: Bacteria; Bacillati; Bacillota; Bacilli; Caryophanales; Listeriaceae.
UCCGCCAGGAGCAUCGCUGGGUAGCUAUGUGUGGCAGGGAUAAACGCUGAAAGCAUCUAAGCGUGAAGCCCCCCUCAAGAUGAGAUUUCCCAUUUCUUCGGAAAGUAAGAUCCCUGAAAGAUGAUCAGGUAGAUAGGUUUGGAGUGGAAGUGUAGCGAUACAUGGAGCGGACAAAUACUAAUCGAUCGAGGACUUAACCAA